Non-coding RNA from Schizosaccharomyces pombe (fission yeast), 520 nucleotides. Lineage: Eukaryota; Fungi; Ascomycota; Schizosaccharomycetes; Schizosaccharomycetales; Schizosaccharomycetaceae. The record is from the annotation of a GenBank genome assembly.
UUGAAAUUACAGAAGAACGUUUUACUAUAACCUUUUUAAAUAUAUAAAAAAAAGCAAAUAAAGUAAUUCUAAUAAACAAUAUUAUGCCUACGAGCACACUAGACGAAAACAGCAGUUUCUGUCCGACCACUGUAUUUGAGGUCGAAGGGUUUUACGUUAGUUCGGUACUACAGAGCUUCUUUUCCUAUUAAUUUCCUAUCUCAUAGUGACAACUAUAAUUUUCACUGUACUUUGUGGAUUUGAAGGUUCAUUGUCAUCAAUAUUUGUCAAAUCACGUUUAUAGCCAACACAACACCAUUAGUAUCAAAAGUGGGAUUUUGCAAAGCGAACAAAAAGAGCAAGAUUUACAAUUUUCAAAAAAAAAGUGAGAAACUCGCAUUUUUGGCUAGAGUUUAUUAGUGGCCUAGUAUAUUCACGCGUCUGUAAUGUUUCAAAUGGAUAAUAAUUCAUCUAUAAACCAAAAUCAAAUCAAAACGUAAAGCAACUCCAACACAAAUAUUAGCAUAUUCUCUAAAUUGAU